ACUUAAAUAGUUCAAGAAGAACGUGAUAUUGAAGAUAUCUAGGUGAUUUGUUAAUCUUUAAGUA
Molecule: transfer RNA, 64 nt
Filed under: Prosopocoilus confucius
Lineage: Eukaryota; Metazoa; Arthropoda; Insecta; Coleoptera; Lucanidae
Description: tRNA-Phe
Source: RNAcentral